Molecule: non-coding RNA, 72 nt
Organism: Cottoperca gobio
Lineage: Eukaryota; Metazoa; Chordata; Actinopteri; Perciformes; Bovichtidae
Source: the annotation of a RefSeq genome assembly
GCAUUGGUGGUUCAGUGGUAGAAUUCUUCGCCUGCCACGCGGGAGGCCCGGGUCCGAUUCCCGGCCAAUGCA